UACGUAGGUGGCAAGCGUUGUCCGGAUUUAUUGGGUUUAAAGGGUGCGUAGGCGGCCUAUUAAGUCAGUGCUGAAAUAUACCGGCUUAACCGGUAGGGUGGCAUUGAUACUGAUGGGCUUGAGUACAGAUGAGGUAGGCGGAAUUGACGGUGUAGCGGUGAAAUGCUUAGAUAUCGUCAAGAACACCUAUAGCGAAGGCAGCUUACUAGGCUGUAACUGACGCUGAGGCACGAAAGUGUGGGGAUCAAACAGG
RNAcentral lists this ribosomal RNA (253 nucleotides) under uncultured prokaryote. Its description in RNAcentral is "partial 16S ribosomal RNA". It matches the Rfam family "Bacterial small subunit ribosomal RNA", at positions 524 to 776 of the family's 1533-position model. The record is from RNAcentral.